This 87-nucleotide transfer RNA is filed under the name Cordylochernes scorpioides. RNAcentral's name for it is "tRNA-Tyr". It matches the Rfam family "tRNA". Rfam says of the family: Transfer RNA (tRNA) molecules are approximately 80 nucleotides in length. Lineage: Eukaryota; Metazoa; Arthropoda; Arachnida; Pseudoscorpiones; Chernetidae. The record is from RNAcentral.
CCCUCGAUAGCUCAGUUGGCAGAGUGGAGGACUGUAGAUGUUAGAACGGUGAUCCUUAGGUCGCUGGUUCAAAUCCGGCUCGAGGGA